Long non-coding RNA from Balaenoptera acutorostrata (minke whale), 176 nucleotides. RefSeq lists it as uncharacterized. The transcript is spliced from 3 exons. The record is from RefSeq and is a predicted model, not a curated record. Lineage: Eukaryota; Metazoa; Chordata; Mammalia; Artiodactyla; Balaenopteridae.
CGACAGCCUCAGAGCUGGUGGAGAGGCAGAGCGCCGGCAGCGGGGUAAAUUCGUAGACGUGGAAUUCCUGGAUCAAAUGGUCACCAAUUGUUUCAGCAUCAUUUAUUGAAUAAUCCAACCUCCUUCCACUGAUUUGAAAUGGCAAGAACUGUCCUCCCACUAGAUAGGGUGUAGCU